AGAAAAGAGACAAAGCCAACGGUGUGG
This 27-nucleotide non-coding RNA is filed under the name Mus musculus (house mouse). The record is from RNAcentral. Lineage: Eukaryota; Metazoa; Chordata; Mammalia; Rodentia; Muridae.